Molecule: ribosomal RNA, 459 nt
Filed under: uncultured bacterium
Lineage: Bacteria
Description: partial 16S ribosomal RNA
Rfam family: Bacterial small subunit ribosomal RNA
Source: RNAcentral
CCUACGGGGGGCAGCAGUGAGGAAUAUUGGUCAAUGGACGAGAGUCUGAACCAGCCAAGUAGCGUGAAGGAUGACUGCCCUAUGGGUUGUAAACUUCUUUUAUAUGGGAAUAAAACAGGGUAUGCAUACCCUCUUGUAUGUACCAUAUGAAUAAGGAUCGGCUAACUCCGUGCCAGCAGCCGCGGUAAUACGGAGGAUCCGAGCGUUAUCCGGAUUUAUUGGGUUUAAAGGGAGCGUAGGUGGAGGCACAAGUCAGCGGUAAAAUCGCGGGGCUCAACCCCGCUCCGCCGUUGAAACUGUGUCCCUUGAGUGCGCGAAGGGUAGGCGGAAUGCGUGGUGUAGCGGUGAAAUGCAUAGAUAUCACGCAGAACUCCGAUCGCGAAGGCAGCCUACCGGCGCGCAACUGACGCUCAUGCACGAAAGCGUGGGUAUCGAACAGGAUUAGAUACCCUUGUAGUC